Molecule: ribosomal RNA, 450 nt
Filed under: uncultured bacterium
Lineage: Bacteria
Description: partial 16S ribosomal RNA
Rfam family: Bacterial small subunit ribosomal RNA
Source: RNAcentral
GUGGGGAAUCUUCCGCAAUGGACGAAAGUCUGACGGAGCAACGCCGCGUGAGUGAUGAAGGUCUUCGGAUUGUAAAGCUCUGUUAAUCGGGACGAAAGAGCCUAGUGUGAAUAAUGCUAGGAAGUGACGGUACCGGAAUAGAAAGCCACGGCUAACUACGUGCCAGCAGCCGCGGUAAUACGUAGGUGGCAAGCGUUGUCCGGAAUUAUUGGGCGUAAAGCGCGCGCAGGCGGAUCUGCCAGUCUGUCUUAAAAGUUAGGGGCUUAACCCCGUGAUGGGAUGGAAACUACAGAUCUAGAGUAUCGGAGAGGAAAGUGGAAUUCCUAGUGUAGCGGUGAAAUGCGUAGAUAUUAGGAAGAACACCAGUGGCGAAGGCGACUUUCUGGACGAAAACUGACGCUGAGGCGCGAAAGCCAGGGGAGCGAACGGGAUUAGAAACCCCAGUAGUCC